This 1404-nucleotide ribosomal RNA is filed under the name uncultured organism. RNAcentral describes it as "bacterial SSU rRNA". It matches the Rfam family "Bacterial small subunit ribosomal RNA". The record is from RNAcentral.
CGGCGUGGAUUAGGCAUGCAAGUCGAACGAUCCAUUUCGGUGGAUAGUGGCAAACGGGUGAGUAACGCGUAAGCAAUCUUCCUCAAAGUUGGGAAUAGCAUCGUGAAAACGGUGGUAAUACCCGAUGUUAUCUUAAUAUCGCAUGGUAUUUUGAUCAAAGGCGGGGACCUUCGGGCCUGCCGCUUUGAGAUGAGCUUGCGUCCUAUCAGCUUGUUGGUGAGGUAACGGCUCACCAAGGCGUUUGACGGGUAGCCGGCCUGAGAGGGUGUCCGGCCACACUGGGACUGAGACACUGCCCAGACUCCUACGGGAGGCUGCAGUCGAGAAUCUUUCACAAUGGGGGAAACCCUGAUGAUGCGACGCCGCGUGCAGGAUGAAGGUUUUCGGAUCGUAAACUGCUUUUGUUAGGGGAGAAACCUUAAGAGCUAAUAACUCUUAAGCUGACGGUACCUAACGAAUAAGCCACGGCCAACUCCGUGCCAGCAGCCGCGGUAAUACGGAGGUGGCAAGCGUUACUCGGAAUUAUUGGGUGUAAAGGGCAGGUAGGCGGCCUAUUAAGUGAGGGGUGAAAUCCAACGACUCAAUCGUUGAACUGCCUUUCAAACUAAUAGGCUUGAGAUCGGUAUGGGGAAGUGGAAUUAGCAGUGUAAGGGUGAAAUCUGUAGAUAUUGCUAAGAACACCAGCGGCGAAGGCGACUUCCUGGGCCGCAUCUGACGCUGAUCUGCGAAAGCUAGGGUAGCAAACGGAAUUAGAUACUCCGGUAGUCCUAGCCGUAAACGAUGAGUACUAGGUGUCGGGUUUUCUCGGUGCCGCAGCUAACGCAUUAAGUACUCCACCUGGGGACUACGACCGCAAGGUUAAAACUCAAAGGAAUUGACGGGGACCCGCACAAGCGGUGGAACAUGUGGUUUAAUUCGAUGAUACGCGAAGAACCUCACCAAGGCUUGACAUGUACGCAGUAGCGAAUCUGAAAAGUGAGCGAUCCGUCAAAUCGGAAACGUACACAGGUGCUGCAUGGCUGUCGUCAGCUCGUGUCGUGAGAUGUUGGGUUAAGUCCCGCAACGAGCGCAACCAUUGCCCUAUGUUGCCACCCUGAUCUUCGGAUCAGGCGCACUCUUAGGGGACUGCCCGGGAUAACCGGGAGGAAGGUGGAGAUGACGUCAAGUCAGUACGGCCUUUAUGCCUUGGGCUACACACGUGUUACAAUGCGCGGUACAGAGGGUUGCCAACCCGUGAGGGGGAGCUAAUCUCAAAAAGCCGCGCUCAGUUCGGAUUGAAGUCUGCAAUUCGGCUUCAUGAAGCUGGAAUCGCUAGUAAUGGGAGAUCAGCUCGCUCCCGUGAUACGUUCCCGGGUCUUGUACACACCGCCCGUCAAGCGAUGGGAGUCGGGGGCACCCGAAGUC